UAACGUUAACAAUAUGAAUUUAUUGUCACCGGAAGUCCAAGGUUUUCUACGCAAGUUUAACCGCGUAGAGUUAGUCGGUCUCUAAGGUAAAUGUGAUUACAUUUUCUAAUGAGUAUGGUUUUAAUAAUUCCAAUUUAAUUGAACAGUGACAGGAAGGUAAGCUAAAUGCUUAACUAAAUUUUGAUAAUUACAGGCUUUUAUUAAUAUUUUUCCUUCUUCAAGAAAAAACUACAGUUAGAUUUAAUUUUUAAUCAGUAACCGUACCUUAAACCGCCACUGGUGGACAAAUGAAGAGCAUCAAGGUGAUGGGAGAACAGUAUUGAAGGAACUCGGCAAAUUACACUCGUAACUUAGGGAAAAGAGUGACCGAAAACUCACUUUAAAAAGAUUUGGAUGUUACAGGUAAAAAUCUUGUAAUUAGAAAAAUUUAUAACUUUAGUGAUUAAUUUUCGGUGUCACAAAAUUGGGGGUAGCGACUGUUUAUUAAAAACACAGGAUUCUGCUAAGUAGUGAUAUGAUGUAUAGAAUCUGACGCCUGCCCAGUGCCGUAAGGUAAAGAAGUUGAUGUUUACGCAUUGCUUUGAAGCCCCCGGUAAACGGCAGCCGUAACUAUAACGGUUCGAAGGUAGCGAAAUUCCUUGUCGGGUAAGUUCCGACCUGCACGAAUGGCGUAACGACUUCCCCGCUGUCUCCAGUACUGACCCAGUGAAAUUGAAUUCUCCGUGCAGAUGCGGAGUACUAGCAGCUAGACGGAAAGACCCUAUGCACCUUUACUGCAUCUUUACAUUGCUUCUGAAGAGUUGUUUGCGUAGUGUAAAUGGGAGCUUAUUACGUCUAUAUUUUGGUAUAUUGCGUAGGCGAAAAGUGAAACACCAUUCUAAUUUAAUUCUUUAGAGCUAAUAAAAAAUUGGACAGUGUAUGGUUGGUAGUUUUGCUGGGGCGGCAGGCUCCUAAAGAGUAACGGAGCUGCGCAAAGGUAGACUCAAAAUAACACUUUGUUAUUUGUAGAGCGUAAUGGUAUAAGUCUGCUUGACUGAAAAGUUGAUGAACUAAUCAGGGACAUAAAAAGUCGGCCAUAAAGAUCCGAUAGUUUCGAGUGGAAGAGCUAUCGCUCAACGGAUAAAAGGUACGCUAGGGAUAACAGGCUAAUGACUCUUGAGAGAUCCCAUCGACGGGGUUGUUUGGCACCUCGAUGUUGACUCAUCACAGCCUGGGGCUGAAGCAGGUCCCAAGGGUUCGGCUGUUCGCCGAUUAAAGUGGUACGUGAGUUGAGUUUAGAACGUCGUGAGACAGUUUGGACCCUAUCUACUGCUAGCGUUUAGAAUUGAGAAUUGCUUUUCUUUGUACGAGAGGACCAGGAAGGCUAUACCUAUGGUAUACUGGUUGUUUUGACCAAAAGCACGGCCAGAAAGCUACGUAUAAAAAUAUAACUACAGAAAGCAUCUACGUGGGAAAAUAAUUUCAAGAUUAAUUCUAACUACAUGGUUGUAGACUACAACCUUAAUAGGCUGAAAGUGUAAAUAUUGUAAGAUACUUAGCUCGUCAGUACUACUACAUAAUAAGGAGGUCUUUU
This 1573-nucleotide ribosomal RNA is filed under the name metagenome. RNAcentral describes it as "bacterial LSU rRNA". It matches the Rfam family "Bacterial large subunit ribosomal RNA", at positions 1307 to 2925 of the family's 2925-position model. The record is from RNAcentral.